This 179-nucleotide small nuclear RNA is filed under the name Terrapene triunguis (Three-toed box turtle). RNAcentral describes it as "Terrapene carolina triunguis (Three-toed box turtle) U2 spliceosomal RNA (ENSTMTG00000002013.1)". It matches the Rfam family "U2 spliceosomal RNA", at positions 1 to 167 of the family's 192-position model. Rfam says of the family: U2 is a small nuclear RNA (snRNA) component of the spliceosome (involved in pre-mRNA splicing). The record is from Rfam by way of RNAcentral. Lineage: Eukaryota; Metazoa; Chordata; Testudines; Emydidae.
ACAACUUCUUGUCAACUGUUUGAAAUGGGCCAUCCUGAUCAUAGUGUAGUAUCUGUUCUUAUCAGUUCAAUAUCCGACAUGUUCUCGAUGUGAGAACUCCACAUCAAACGGAUUUCCGGAACAGGGAGUCGGACCAGGAGCCCGCCUCCUCCACUCCACGCAUCAACCCUGCACCGCAG